GGGGAGGUGCCAGAGUGGUUGAAUGGGGCCGCCUGCUAAGUGGUUGUCGGGUGUAAAGCCCGACCGAGGGUUCGAAUCCCUCCCUCCCCGCCA
This 93-nucleotide transfer RNA is filed under the name Chloroflexi bacterium HGW-Chloroflexi-8. RNAcentral's name for it is "tRNA-Ser". It matches the Rfam family "tRNA". From Rfam's summary of the family: Transfer RNA (tRNA) molecules are approximately 80 nucleotides in length. Lineage: Bacteria; Bacillati; Chloroflexota. The record is from RNAcentral. RNAcentral also lists the same sequence under 1 other name.